CGAGGGGAGUGAAAAAGAACCUGAAACCGUGUACGUACAAGCAGUGGGAGCACAGGUUUACCUGUGUGACUGCGUACCUUUUGUAUAAUGGGUCAGCGACUUAUAUUCUGUAGCAAGGUUAACCGAAUAGGGGAGCCGGAGGGAAACCGAGUCUUAAUUGGGCGUUAAGUUGCAGGGUAUAGACCCGAAACCCGGUGAUCUAGCCAUGGGCAGGUUGAAGGUUGGGUAACACUAACUGGAGGACCGAACCGACUAAUGUUGAAAAAUUAGCGGAUGACCUGUGGCUGGGGGUGAAAGGCCAAUCAAACCGGGAGAUAGCUGGUUCUCCCCGAAAGCUAUUUAGGUAGCGCCUCGUGAAUUCAUCUCCGGGGGUAGAGCACUGUUUCGGCUAGGGGGCCAUCCCGGCUUACCAACCCGAUGCAAACUGCGAAUACCGGAGAAUGUUAUCACGGGAGACACACGGCGGGUGCUAACGUCCGUCGUGAAGAGGGAAACAACCCAGACCGCCAGCUAAGGUCCCAAAGUCAUGGUUAAGUGGGAAACGAUGUGGGAAGGCCCAGACAGCCAGGAUGUUGGCUUAGAAGCAGCCAUCAUUUAAAGAAAGCGUAAUAGCUCACUGGUCGAGUCGGCCUGCGCGGAAGAUGUAACGGGGCUAAACCAU
RNAcentral lists this ribosomal RNA (661 nucleotides) under Salmonella enterica. RNAcentral's name for it is "partial 23S ribosomal RNA". It matches the Rfam family "Bacterial large subunit ribosomal RNA", at positions 530 to 1190 of the family's 2925-position model. RNAcentral also lists the same sequence under 1 other name. The record is from RNAcentral. Lineage: Bacteria; Pseudomonadati; Pseudomonadota; Gammaproteobacteria; Enterobacterales; Enterobacteriaceae.